CAUUACCGAGAGGAGGGCUUCCGGGCCCUAGGGGGUUCUCCCCCCGCACCUUUCCACCCUUUGUGUAUCUUCCACUGUUGCUUUGGCGGGCCCCGGGGUCUUUUCCCGGCGCUGGUCCCCUCUUCGGGGUCUCGCGAGUGUCCGCCAGACGCCUAUUUAAAUCCUGCUUUAUCAGUGAAGUCUGAGUCUACGAAUAAUGAAACAAAACUUUCAACAACGGAUCUCUUGGUUCUGGCAUCGAUGAAGAACGCAGCGAAACGCGAUAGGUAAUGUGAAUUGCAGAAUUCAGUGAAUCAUCGAAUCUUUGAACGCACAUUGCGCCCUCUGGUAUUCCGGGGGGCAUGCCUGUUCGAGCGUCAUUACAACCCUCAAGCACUGCUUGGUAUUGGGUGCUCGCGCCCCGCAUUCGCGGGGGGCGCGCCCGAAAUGUAGUGGCGGUCCCGGCGGACUUCAAGCGCAGUAAAUCUUAUCCGCUUCGGAAGCCUUCCGCCGGUGGCCCUGCCAUCAACCCCCAAUCUUCCACGAAAUUGACCUCGGAUCAGGUAGGGAUACCCGCUGAACUUAAGCAUAUC
RNAcentral lists this ribosomal RNA (572 nucleotides) under Caloplaca obscurella. Its description in RNAcentral is "eukaryotic LSU rRNA". The stretch from base 206 to 359 matches the Rfam family "5.8S ribosomal RNA". The record is from RNAcentral. Lineage: Eukaryota; Fungi; Ascomycota; Lecanoromycetes; Teloschistales; Teloschistaceae.